This 253-nucleotide ribosomal RNA is filed under the name uncultured bacterium. Its description in RNAcentral is "partial 16S ribosomal RNA". It matches the Rfam family "Bacterial small subunit ribosomal RNA", at positions 524 to 776 of the family's 1533-position model. The record is from RNAcentral.
UAUGUAGGGUGCGAGCGUUAAUCGGAAUUACUGGGCGUAAAGCGUGCGCAGGCGGUUCGUUGUGUCGGCGGUGAAAGCCCCGGGCUCAACCUGGGAAUGGCCGUUGAAACUGGCGAACUGGAGUGUGGCAGAGGGGGGUGGAAUUCCGCGUGUAGCAGUGAAAUGCGUAGAGAUGCGGAGGAACACCGAUGGCGAAGGCAGCCCCCUGGGCUGACACUGACGCUCAGGCACGAAAGCGUGGGGAGCAAACAGG